RNAcentral lists this ribosomal RNA (931 nucleotides) under Pseudeurotium hygrophilum. RNAcentral's name for it is "SSU rRNA". It matches the Rfam family "Eukaryotic small subunit ribosomal RNA", at positions 78 to 1017 of the family's 1831-position model. Lineage: Eukaryota; Fungi; Ascomycota; Leotiomycetes; Thelebolales; Pseudeurotiaceae. The record is from RNAcentral.
ACAGUGAAACUGCGAAUGGCUCAUUAAAUCAGUUAUCGUUUAUUUGAUAGUACNUUACUACUUGGAUAACCGUGGUAAUUCUAGAGCUAAUACAUGCUAAAAACCUCGACUUCGGAAGGGGUGUAUUUAUUAGAUAAAAAACCAAUGCCCUUCGGGGCUCCUUGGUGAUUCAUGAUAACUUAACGAAUCGCAUGGCCUUGUGCCGGCGAUGGUUCAUUCAAAUUUCUGCCCUAUCAACUUUCGAUGGUAGGAUAGUGGCCUACCAUGGUUUCAACGGGUAACGGGGAAUUAGGGUUCUAUUCCGGAGAGGGAGCCUGAGAAACGGCUACCACAUCCAAGGAAGGCAGCAGGCGCGCAAAUUACCCAAUCCCGACACGGGGAGGUAGUGACAAUAAAUACUGAUACAGGGCUCUUUUGGGUCUUGUAAUUGGAAUGAGUACAAUUUAAAUCCCUUAACGAGGAACAAUUGGAGGGCAAGUCUGGUGCCAGCAGCCGCGGUAAUUCCAGCUCCAAUAGCGUAUAUUAAAGUUGUUGCAGUUAAAAAGCUCGUAGUUGAACCUUGGGCCUGGCUGGCCGGUCCGCCUCACCGCGUGCACUGGUCCGGCCGGGCCUUUCCUCCUGGGGAGCCGCAUGCCCUUCACUGGGUGUGUCGGGGAACCAGGACUUUUACUUUGAAAAAAUUAGAGUGUUCAAAGCAGGCCUAUGCUCGAAUACAUUAGCAUGGAAUAAUAGAAUAGGACGUGUGGUUCUAUUUUGUUGGUUUCUAGGACCGCCGUAAUGAUUAAUAGGGAUAGUCGGGGGCAUCAGUAUUCAAUUGUCAGAGGUGAAAUUCUUGGAUUUAUUGAAGACUAACUACUGCGAAAGCAUUUGCCAAGGAUGUUUUCAUUAAUCAGUGAACGAAAGUUAGGGGAUCGAAGACGAUCAGAUACCG